RNAcentral lists this transfer RNA (65 nucleotides) under Loxodonta africana (African savanna elephant). It matches the Rfam family "tRNA". Rfam says of the family: Transfer RNA (tRNA) molecules are approximately 80 nucleotides in length. The record is from Rfam by way of RNAcentral. Lineage: Eukaryota; Metazoa; Chordata; Mammalia; Proboscidea; Elephantidae.
GGUAAAAUGGCUGAGUAAAGCAUUAGAUUGUAAAUCUAACACAGGACUCAGUCCCCUUUUUACCA